GCAGGCGCAGUUGCUGCGGCUCCUGAAAUCCUCCGGUGUGAACUCCCAGGGCUGUUGAUGCUUCAUCUACUCUUCUGGCAGUGGGGGCCUGGACCUUAGUUACCCGGGGAGCGUGAGUCAUGUUGCACAGUUGAGCUGGCACAUAAAACUGCGAGUCACACCAGAAGAGGGCAUUGGAUCCCACUAUAGACUGUUGUGAGCCACCUUGUAGUUGCUGGGAAUUGAACUCAGAAACUCUGGAAGAGCAGUUGAUGCUCUUAACUGCUGAGUCAUCUCUCCAGCCCCAGAACAAGGAAUUGGAGCUUGGAGAAGAUUGAUGGACCACUCAAGUUCCCUGGAUGGUCCAGGAUUCAGACUGAGGAUGGCCUAAAACGUUAGUUUUGCUGGCUCCCUGUGCUUGGCUAACCUUAGAGCCUCUUACCUUACCAUAGUCUUUUCUAUGAAGGACAGAGAUCCAAGGAGUGGAUCAACAUGCCUGAG
This 480-nucleotide long non-coding RNA is filed under the name Mus caroli (Ryukyu mouse). Its description in RNAcentral is "lncRNA (MGP_CAROLIEiJ_G0003425.1)". Lineage: Eukaryota; Metazoa; Chordata; Mammalia; Rodentia; Muridae. The record is from RNAcentral.